Molecule: non-coding RNA, 244 nt
Organism: Pelobates cultripes (western spadefoot toad)
Lineage: Eukaryota; Metazoa; Chordata; Amphibia; Anura; Pelobatidae
Source: the annotation of a GenBank genome assembly
CAGACACACUUUAACUACCAGUUCAAUGCACCCCACUUACACUUACUAAAUGGCACUUUAAAAUUUCUUGUGUCCCCUAAUCCCACUUACAUUAUAAACUUGUUUAAAGGGACUCUAUAGUGUCAGGAAAACAAAGCCGUUUUCCUGGCACUAUAGAAUCCUACAGUGCCCCCCUCCCGCGGCACUUAAGGGGUUAAAACUCCUUCAGUUACUUAUCUGAAUCCAGCGGCGAGGGACAUCAACC